CAGCCGCCGCGGUAAUACGUAGGGUGCGAGCGUUAAUCGGAUCUACUGGGCGUAAAGCGUGCGCAGGCGGCCCGUUAAGACAGGUGUGAAAUCCCUGGGCUCAACCUAGGAAUUGCGCUUGUGACUGGCGGGCUCGAGUACGGUAGAGGGGGGUGGAAUUCCUGGUGUAGCAGUGAAAUGCGUAGAGAUCAGGAGGAACACCGAUGGCGAAGGCAGCCCCCUGGGCCUGUACUGACGCUCAUGCACGAAAGCGUGGGGAGCAAACAGGAUUAGAUACCCGCGUAGUCCCUGUCUCUUAUAC
Molecule: ribosomal RNA, 301 nt
Filed under: uncultured bacterium
Lineage: Bacteria
Description: partial 16S ribosomal RNA
Rfam family: Bacterial small subunit ribosomal RNA
Source: RNAcentral